CCUACGGGUGGCAGCAGUAGGGAAUAUUGCUCAAUGGGGGAAACCCUGAAGCAGCAACGCCGCGUGGAGGAAUGAAGGUCUUCGGAGUGUAAACCCCUGUCAUGUGGGAGCAAAUUAAAAAGAUAGUACCACAAGAGGAAGAGAAGGCAAACUCGGUGCAAGCAGCCGCGGUAAUACAGAAGGCUCAAGCGUGGUUCGGAAUAACUGGGCGUAAAGCGUGCGUAGGCUGUUUCGUAAGUCGUGUGUGAAAGACGCGGGCUGAACCCGCGGACGGCACAUGAUACUGGGCGACUAGAGUAAUGGAGGGGGAACCGGAAUUCUCGGUGUAGCAGUGAAAUGCGUAGAUAUCGAGAGGAACACUCGUGGCGAAGGCGGGUUCCUGGACAUUAACUGACGCUGAGGCACGAAGGCCAGGGGAGCGAAAGGGAUUAGAUACCCUUGUAGUC
This 446-nucleotide ribosomal RNA is filed under the name uncultured bacterium. RNAcentral describes it as "partial 16S ribosomal RNA". It matches the Rfam family "Bacterial small subunit ribosomal RNA", at positions 338 to 795 of the family's 1533-position model. The record is from RNAcentral.